AGAGUUUGAUCCUGGCUCAGAACGAACGCUGGUGGCAUGCCUAAUACAUGCAAGUCGAACGAGAAAGCACUUCGGUGUGAGUAGAGUGGCGCACGGGUGAGUAACGCGUAGAUGAUAUGCCUUUUAGUGGGGGACAACAUCGUGAAAACGGUGCUAAUACCGCAUAAGCUAAGUGAAAUUGAAAACUUAGGAAAGGGGGCUUCGGCUCUCGCUAGAAGAUUGGUCUGCGUGACAUUAGCUUGAUGGUGGGGUAAUGGCCUACCAUGGCGACGAUGUCUAACUGGUCUGAGAGGAUGAUCAGUCACACUGGAACUGAGACACGGUCCAGACUCCUACGGGAGGCAGCAGUGAGGAAUAUUGCGCAAUGGGGGCAACCCUGACGCAGCAAUGCCACGUGAGUGAGGAAUGCCUUCGGGUUGUAAAGCUCUGUCCUAUAGGAAGAACUGCAUUAUGGUUAAUAGGGACUGGACGGUACCUGCAAAUGAAGCACCGGCUAACUCCGUGCCAGCAGCCGCGGUAAUACGGAGGGUGCAAGCGUUGUUCGGAUUUAUUGGGCGUAAAGCGCGCGCAGGCGGAUUAGCAAGUCAGAUGUGAAAUCCCAGGGCUCAACCCUGGAACUGCGUCUGAAACUGUUAGUCUAGAAUCAUAGAGGGGGAAGGGGAAUUUCACGUGUAGGGGUAAAAUCCGUAGAGAUGUGAAGGAACACCAGUGGCGAAGGCGCCUUCCUGGAUAUGUAUUGACGCUGAGGCGCGAAAGCGUGGGGAGCAAACAGGAUUAGAUACCCUGGUAGUCCACGCCGUAAACGAUGAGUACUAGCCCUUGGAGGUAUUGACCCCUUCAGGAGCAAAGCUAACGCAUUAAGUACUCCGCCUGGGAAGUACGGUCGCAAGACUAAAACUCAAAGGAAUUGACGGGGGCCCGCACAAGCGGUGGAUUAUGUGGUUUAAUUCGAAGCAACGCGCAGAACCUUACCUAGGCUUGAAAUCCCUCGAAUCCGACGUAAUUGUUGGAGUGCUCGCAAGAGAAUGAGGUGACAGGUGCUGCAUGGCUGUCGUCAGCUCGUGUUGUGAAAUGUUGGGUUAAGUCUCGCAACGAGCGCAACCCCUAUCUUUAGUUGCCAGCAUUAAGUUGGGCACUCUAGAGAGACUGCCCGGGUUAACCGGGAGGAAGGUGGGGAUGACGUCAAGUCCUCAUGGCCCUUAUGCCUAGGGCUACACACGUAAUACAAUGGUGCACACAAAGGGAAGCGAUCACGCGAGUGUUAGCAAAUCUCAAAAAGUGCAUCUCAGUCCGGAUUGGAGUCUGCAACUCGACUCCAUGAAGUUGGAAUCGCUAGUAAUCGCAGAUCAGCACGCUGCGGUGAAUACGUUCCCGGGCCUUGUACACACCGCCCGUCACACCAUGGGAGUUGUUUUCAUUUUAAGACGUGACUCUAACUUCGGAGGAGAGCGUCUACAGUGGGAGCGAUGACUGGGGUGAAGUCGUAACAAGGUAAAUC
This 1498-nucleotide ribosomal RNA is filed under the name uncultured prokaryote. RNAcentral's name for it is "partial 16S ribosomal RNA". It matches the Rfam family "Bacterial small subunit ribosomal RNA". The record is from RNAcentral.